AGCAGCCGCGGUAAUUCCAGCUCCAAUAGCGUAUAUUUAAGUUGUUGCAGUUAAAAAGCUCGUAGUUGAAUUUCGGGAUCAGUACGCUGGUCGUGCCUUUGGUAUGUACUGGUGUCACUGAUUCCUCCCUUCUGAAGAACCGUUAUGCCAUUUAUUUGGUGUGGCGGGAAAUCAGGACUGUUACUUUGAAAAAAUUAGAGUGUUUAAAGCAGGCUCGCGCUUGAAUACAUUAGCAUGGAAUAAUGAAAUAGGACGUUUGAUCUUAUUUUGUUGGUUUCUAGGAUCGACGUAAUGAUUAAUAGGGUUAGUUGGGGGCAUUAGUAUUCAAUUGUCAGAGGUGAAAUUCUUGGAUUUAUUGAAGACUAACUACUGCGAAAGCAUUUGCCAAGGAUGUUUUCAUUAAUCAAGAACGAAAGUUAGGGGAUCGAAGACGAUCAGAUACCGUCGUAGUCUUAACCAUAAACUAUGCCGACUAGGGAUCGGAUGAUGUUAAUUUUUAAUGACUCAUUCGGCGCCUUAA
RNAcentral lists this ribosomal RNA (520 nucleotides) under uncultured Glomus. Its description in RNAcentral is "SSU rRNA". It matches the Rfam family "Eukaryotic small subunit ribosomal RNA", at positions 569 to 1091 of the family's 1831-position model. The record is from RNAcentral. Lineage: Eukaryota; Fungi; Glomeromycota; Glomeromycetes; Glomerales; Glomeraceae.